This 397-nucleotide small RNA is filed under the name Arabidopsis thaliana (thale cress). Its description in RNAcentral is "ATSL026100". The record is from RNAcentral. Lineage: Eukaryota; Viridiplantae; Streptophyta; Magnoliopsida; Brassicales; Brassicaceae.
AACCAAUAAUAAUGAUUUCUCUUCUUCUAUGAAUUCAAUCGUCAUCUAUGAAUAUUUUUCAUUUAAUCAGUAUCUUAAUCGAAUUUUCCAUUUAAAGUUUCUUCUUCAUAUCUUUUUAUGUUUUUCCUUCGGCACUUAUGCUCCAUUUUUCCUUUUUGUUUUUUGAAUAUCAAGAGGUUUUGGACUAAAACCCGUAAUUUUCAAGACCCAAGACCAGCAUGUAAUAUUAGAUUUGUCUCAUAUCUCUCUUUUUUUUUUACAGAAUAUCUUAGUAUUUUCACGAUAAGUUUUAAAAGGCGACAAUAUUUUUUAACAUACGCAGUUGUAUCUUCUUUUUUUGGAUCAAACUAUAGUUGUAUCUUAACCGUAAGCAACUACCCGUCUACACAUCCUUAUA